AACGAACGCUGGCGGCAUGCCUAACACAUGCAAGUCGAACGAGAACAUCGGGACUAGUGGCGCACGGGUGUGUCACGCGUGGGAAGCUUCCCUUAGGUUUGGAAUAACUCUCCGAAAGGGGUGAUAAUACCGGAUAAUGUCUUCGGACCAAAGAUUUAUCGCCCUGGGAUGGGCGCGCGUUGGAUUAGCUAUUUGGGAGGGUAAAAGCCUAUUAAGGCGACGAUCCAUAGCUGGGCUGAGAGGAUGAUCAGCCACACUAAGACUGAGACACGGCCCAGACUCCUACGCGAGGGAGGAGAGGGGGAUAUUGGACAAUGGGCGAAGGCCUGAACCAGCAAUGCUGCUUAAGUGCUGAUGGCAUUAGGGUUGUAAAGCUCUUUUACCCGGGAUGAUAAUGACGGUACCGGGAGAAUAAGCUCCGGCUAACUCCGUG
RNAcentral lists this ribosomal RNA (433 nucleotides) under uncultured bacterium. Its description in RNAcentral is "partial 16S ribosomal RNA". It matches the Rfam family "Bacterial small subunit ribosomal RNA", at positions 29 to 507 of the family's 1533-position model. The record is from RNAcentral.